RNAcentral lists this ribosomal RNA (410 nucleotides) under uncultured Nakamurella sp. RNAcentral's name for it is "bacterial SSU rRNA". It matches the Rfam family "Bacterial small subunit ribosomal RNA", at positions 354 to 776 of the family's 1533-position model. The record is from RNAcentral. Lineage: Bacteria; Bacillati; Actinomycetota; Actinomycetes; Nakamurellales; Nakamurellaceae.
GUGGGGAAUAUUGCGCAAUGGGCGGAAGCCUGACGCAGCGACGCCGCGUGGGGGAUGAAGGCCUUCGGGUUGUAAACCUCUUUCAGCAGGGACGAAGCUAACGUGACGGUACCUGCAGAAGAAGCACCGGCCAACUACGUGCCAGCAGCCGCGGUAAUACGUAGGGUGCGAGCGUUGUCCGGAAUUAUUGGGCGUAAAGAGCUCGUAGGCGGCUUGUCGCGUCGACUGUGAAAAUCCGCGGCUCAACUGCGGACCUGCAGUCGAUACGGGCAGGCUUGAGUUCGGUAGGGGAGACUGGAAUUCCUGGUGUAGCGGUGAAAUGCGCAGAUAUCAGGAGGAACACCGGUGGCGAAGGCGGGUCUCUGGGCCGAUACUGACGCUGAGGAGCGAAAGCGUGGGGAGCGAACAGG